RNAcentral lists this ribosomal RNA (253 nucleotides) under uncultured bacterium. RNAcentral describes it as "partial 16S ribosomal RNA". It matches the Rfam family "Bacterial small subunit ribosomal RNA", at positions 524 to 776 of the family's 1533-position model. The record is from RNAcentral.
UACGUAGGUGGCAAGCGUUAUCCGGAUUUAUUGGGUGUAAAGGGCGUGUAGGCGGGACUGCAAGUCAGAUGUGAAAGCCUUCGGCUUAACCGGAGUAGUGCAUUGGAAACUGGGAGACUUGAGUGCAGAAGAGGAGAGUGGAACUCCAUGUGUAGCGGUGAAAUGCGUAGAUAUAUGGAAGAACACCAGUGGCGAAAGCGGCUCUCUGGUCUGUAACUGACGCUGAGGUUCGAAAGCGUGGGUAGCAAACAGG